AGGAGUGUAGUUUAUAAAAUAUCAAGUUUGCAUCUUGAAGAUGGCAGUAGCCCGCUCUC
Molecule: transfer RNA, 59 nt
Filed under: Streptocephalus cafer
Lineage: Eukaryota; Metazoa; Arthropoda; Branchiopoda; Anostraca; Streptocephalidae
Description: tRNA-Ala
Source: RNAcentral